UCUGACGGCCGAGUGGACAAACGGCGAAAUUGUAGUGAAGUUGCUCGAAUAGAGAGGAUCGAGUGAAGGAGACGAUUUCGAGUGAGGGUGAUGAGAGAGUGAUUAUGUGAGGUCGAGUGAGUGGUGGGAGUGAGCAUAAGAUAUGUGUGGUUUGGUUGUGUCGAGUGAGAUGUUUUUUUUUUUCUAAAAAUCUCAAACAUCUCUACCUAGUGAAAAUCAUCCCACCUCCUCACUGAAGCAUGUUCGAUUCUGUAUCUCCUGCCCACUCAUAUCUUUAAAAUCCUGAACAACACAAAACUAAAAACAAAAAUCAAAAACACAAAAAAUCCUAGGCAGUAUUUAUAAGGAUACCUUUGGGAAUUCCUCCCAAGUGAGCUUGUUUAAAGUCACUAAGCUUGACUGUUUAUGCCUUUUAGGCUUUGGGAGGCUAAUAGAGAGGUAUGGAGGACCCCUCUGGUGUCUCUUGAUCAGCUAGGUAACGCUUGACACGUUGACCGUUCACAGUGAACUCGCU
This 514-nucleotide long non-coding RNA is filed under the name Capsella rubella. RNAcentral describes it as "long non-coding RNA (CRUB_LNC004215)". Lineage: Eukaryota; Viridiplantae; Streptophyta; Magnoliopsida; Brassicales; Brassicaceae. The record is from RNAcentral.